UACGUAGGGGGCGAGCGUUGUCCGGAAUUAUUGGGCGUAAAGGGUUCGUAGGCGGUCUUUUAAGUCAGAUGUGAAAGGUCACGGCUCAACCGUGGUAAGCAUUUGAAACUGAAGGACUUGAGUUAAGGAGAGGAAAGUGGAAUUCCUAGUGUAGCGGUGAAAUGCGUAGAUAUUAGGAGGAAUACCAGUGGCGAAGGCGACUUUCUGGACUUAUACUGACGCUGAGGAACGAAAGCGUGGGGAGCAAACA
Molecule: ribosomal RNA, 250 nt
Filed under: uncultured bacterium
Lineage: Bacteria
Description: partial 16S ribosomal RNA
Rfam family: Bacterial small subunit ribosomal RNA
Source: RNAcentral